UGGCUCAGUUGGUAGAGCAUUGCGCUUGCAAAGCCAGGGUUGUGAGUUCGAUUCCCAC
RNAcentral lists this transfer RNA (58 nucleotides) under Salmo salar (Atlantic salmon). It matches the Rfam family "tRNA", at positions 8 to 63 of the family's 71-position model. From Rfam's summary of the family: Transfer RNA (tRNA) molecules are approximately 80 nucleotides in length. Lineage: Eukaryota; Metazoa; Chordata; Actinopteri; Salmoniformes; Salmonidae. The record is from Rfam by way of RNAcentral.